RNAcentral lists this ribosomal RNA (447 nucleotides) under uncultured bacterium. Its description in RNAcentral is "bacterial SSU rRNA". It matches the Rfam family "Bacterial small subunit ribosomal RNA", at positions 355 to 825 of the family's 1533-position model. The record is from RNAcentral.
UCGGGAAUUUUGGGCAAUGGGCGAAAGCCUGACCCAGCAACGCCGCGUGAAGGAUGAAGUAUUUCGGUAUGUAAACUUCGAAAGAAUAGGAAGAAUAAAUGACGGUACUAUUUAUAAGGUCCGGCUAACUACGUGCCAGCAGCCGCGGUAAUACGUAGGGACCAAGCGUUGUUCGGAUUUACUGGGCGUAAAGGGCGCGUAGGCGGCUUUGUAAGUCACUUGUGAAAUCUCUGAGCUUAACUCAGAACGGCCAAGUGAUACUGCAGAGCUAGAGUGUAGAAGGGGCAAUCGGAAUUCUUGGUGUAGCGGUGAAAUGCGUAGAUAUCGGAAGGAACAUCGGUGGCGAAGGCGUCUACCUGGCCUAAUACUGACACUGAGGCACGAAAGCGUGGGGAGCAAACAGGAUUAGAUACCCCGGUAGUCCCUGAGCGGGCUGGCAAGGCGCAU